CAGACCAUCACCAUAAUCUUCUAGGACAUGUAGGAACUCUUUUUGUUUGUCUUUUAUGGAGCAAAAAUCAUUUUAGUAAAACAUAUUUCAUCGAACUGCAUGACAUCAAAUGUUCAGGCGUGGAUCCUCUUCAAUGAAGGCAGGGUUUUGGAACUAAUAAAUGCACAUCUAAGGGAGUCAAGCAACCUGUCUCAAGUGCAACGAUCAUUCCAUGUAGGUCUAUUGUGCGUGCAGCAAUGUCCAGACGAUACCUAGCAUGUCAUAAAUCUGAAUUUCACCUACAACCUGUCUCAAGUGCAAAGAUCAUUCCAUGUAGGACUAUUGUGCGUGCAGCACUGUCCAGAAGAUAGGCCUACUAUGGCAUCACUUCUGCUGAUGUUGUCUAGUGACAUUCCAUUGCCCUUACCUAAAGAGCCAGGUUUUU
Molecule: long non-coding RNA, 424 nt
Filed under: Nicotiana benthamiana
Lineage: Eukaryota; Viridiplantae; Streptophyta; Magnoliopsida; Solanales; Solanaceae
Description: long non-coding RNA (NBEN_LNC012640)
Source: RNAcentral